Molecule: transfer RNA, 67 nt
Filed under: Marmota monax (woodchuck)
Lineage: Eukaryota; Metazoa; Chordata; Mammalia; Rodentia; Sciuridae
Description: tRNA.Ala
Source: RNAcentral
GGUUGUGGCCCAGUGGUAGAGUGCUUGCCUAGCAUACACCAGGCACUGGGUUCAAUCCUCAGCACCA